UUGGUAGCUAAACGAAACGCAGCACGGUU
This 29-nucleotide small RNA is filed under the name Bombyx mori (domestic silkworm). RNAcentral's name for it is "ovarian small RNA-1637". The record is from RNAcentral. Lineage: Eukaryota; Metazoa; Arthropoda; Insecta; Lepidoptera; Bombycidae.